This 67-nucleotide transfer RNA is filed under the name Dipodomys ordii (Ord's kangaroo rat). It matches the Rfam family "tRNA". From Rfam's summary of the family: Transfer RNA (tRNA) molecules are approximately 80 nucleotides in length. Their secondary structure includes four short double-helical elements and three loops (D, anti-codon, and T loops). The record is from Rfam by way of RNAcentral. Lineage: Eukaryota; Metazoa; Chordata; Mammalia; Rodentia; Heteromyidae.
AGGUGGCUCAGUGGUAGAGUGCUUGCCUUGCAUGCAUGAGGCUCUGGGUUCAAUUUCUGAGCACCUA